RNAcentral lists this ribosomal RNA (253 nucleotides) under uncultured bacterium. RNAcentral's name for it is "partial 16S ribosomal RNA". It matches the Rfam family "Bacterial small subunit ribosomal RNA", at positions 524 to 776 of the family's 1533-position model. The record is from RNAcentral.
UACAGAGGAGGCAAGCGUUGUUCGGAAUUACUGGGCGUAAAGGGCGCGUAGGCGGCCUGUUAAGUCGAACGUGAAAUCCCCGGGCUCAACCCGGGAACUGCGUCCGAUACUGGCAGGCUUGAAUCCGGGAGAGGGAUGUGGAAUUCCAGGUGUAGCGGUGAAAUGCGUAGAUAUCUGGAGGAACACCGGUGGCGAAGGCGGCAUCCUGGACCGGUAUUGACGCUGAGGCGCGAAAGCCAGGGGAGCAAACGGG